GCACUAGUCGGGGAGCUAGCGGUGCCCUUUUCCCGCAAUCCGCUACAGCGGGGAUGAAUCCCCGGCCUAGGGUGUGCAAUGUGUCGUCUGACACCGGCAAGCAGUGUUGACGAUCCGGUCUCACGCAACGGAAACCCGUGAACCAUGUCAGGCGGGGAACCGAGCAGCAUUAAGCGGUGCUUUUCGUGUGCCGUGAGGGUGCCGGGUCCGAGCCGGCUACCGGCGUAGCGGGCAUAUCGCAUUAUUCGAAGUCGGGU
Molecule: signal recognition particle RNA, 257 nt
Filed under: bovine gut metagenome
Also listed under: 1 other name
Description: Bacterial large signal recognition particle RNA
Rfam family: Bacterial large signal recognition particle RNA
About the family: The signal recognition particle (SRP) is a universally conserved ribonucleoprotein involved in the co-translational targeting of proteins to membranes. Archaeal SRP consists of a 7S RNA and homologues of the eukaryotic SRP19 and SRP54 proteins.
Source: RNAcentral